CCUACGGUGGCUGCAGUGGGGAAUAUUGGACAAUGGGCGAAAGCCUGAUCCAGCCAUGCCGCGUGUGUGAAGAAGGCCUUCGGGUUGUAAAGCACUUUCAGUGGGGAAGAAAGCCUUGGGGCUAAUACCCUCGAGGAAGGACAUCACCCACAGAAGAAGCACCGGCUAACUCCGUGCCAGCAGCCGCGGUAAUACGGAGGGUGCGAGCGUUAAUCGGAAUUACUGGGCGUAAAGCGCGCGUAGGCGGUCUGAUAAGCCGGUUGUGAAAGCCCCGGGCUCAACCUGGGAACGGCAUCCGGAACUGUCAGGCUAGAGUGCAGGAGAGGAAGGUAGAAUUCCCGGUGUAGCAGUGAAAUGCGUAGAGAUCGGGAGGAAUACCAGUGGCGAAGGCGGCCUUCUGGACUGACACUGACGCUGAGGUGCGAAAGCGUGGGUAGCAAACAGGAUUAGAUACCCUUGUAGUC
This 464-nucleotide ribosomal RNA is filed under the name Vreelandella stevensii. Its description in RNAcentral is "partial 16S ribosomal RNA". It matches the Rfam family "Bacterial small subunit ribosomal RNA", at positions 338 to 795 of the family's 1533-position model. Lineage: Bacteria; Pseudomonadati; Pseudomonadota; Gammaproteobacteria; Oceanospirillales; Halomonadaceae. The record is from RNAcentral.